UACGUAGGGUGCGAGCGUUGUCCGGAAUUAUUGGGCGUAAAGGGCUCGUAGGCGGUCUGUUGCGUCGGGAGUGAAAACUCAGGGCUUAACCCUGAGCCUGCUUCCGAUACGGGCAGACUAGAGGUAUGCAGGGGAGAACGGAAUUCCUGGUGUAGCGGUGAAAUGCGCAGAUAUCAGGAGGAACACCGGUGGCGAAGGCGGUUCUCUAGUACGGUACUGACGCUGAGACGCGAAAGCGUGGGGAGCGAACAGG
RNAcentral lists this ribosomal RNA (253 nucleotides) under uncultured bacterium. RNAcentral describes it as "partial 16S ribosomal RNA". It matches the Rfam family "Bacterial small subunit ribosomal RNA", at positions 524 to 776 of the family's 1533-position model. The record is from RNAcentral.